RNAcentral lists this signal recognition particle RNA (96 nucleotides) under Clostridia bacterium. Its description in RNAcentral is "signal recognition particle sRNA small type". It matches the Rfam family "Bacterial small signal recognition particle RNA". Rfam says of the family: The signal recognition particle (SRP) is a universally conserved ribonucleoprotein involved in the co-translational targeting of proteins to membranes. Archaeal SRP consists of a 7S RNA and homologues of the eukaryotic SRP19 and SRP54 proteins. Lineage: Bacteria; Bacillati; Bacillota; Clostridia. The record is from RNAcentral.
UGGAGAGUAAUUUCCGAUAAAAAUUUACGAAUCUCGUCAGGUCCGGAAGGAAGCAGCGAUAAGUAGAACCUUUUAUGUGGAAGUUACUUUCCACGG